This is a non-coding RNA of Chelonoidis abingdonii (Abingdon island giant tortoise), 98 nucleotides long. The record is from RefSeq and is a predicted model, not a curated record. Lineage: Eukaryota; Metazoa; Chordata; Testudines; Testudinidae.
AGUGGAUGUGUACUACACCUCUACCCCAUUAUAACGCUGUCCUCCGGGAGUUAAAAAUCUUACUGUGUGAUAUCGAAUUAUUUGAUCUGCGGAGAGCC